Molecule: long non-coding RNA, 277 nt
Filed under: Elaeis guineensis (African oil palm)
Lineage: Eukaryota; Viridiplantae; Streptophyta; Magnoliopsida; Arecales; Arecaceae
Description: long non-coding RNA (EGUI_LNC058532)
Source: RNAcentral
AGCGAUUAGGUCAUCUUAUAAUCUAAUCAGAUCAAACCAAAUUGAAUCUAAUUCAAUUAGAUUUGAUCAAAACCUCAAUACUCAAUCAAAUUAAGCUAAUUAAAAAUUUAAUUACUAAUCAAUUAUCCUAUAAUUUAUCAACAAUUGAUAAAUUAAUUUAUUACAACUUUUGUACAAGGUUAAUCAUCAAUCGAAUUGAUGAUUAUACCCUAGAAUGAUUCUCAAUCAUCGAUCAGCCACAUGAUCAGUCAGAGAUUUUUUUUAAGUGUGACCCCAU